GUAGGUGGCAAGCGUUGUCCGGAAUUAUUGGGGCGUAAAGCGCGCGCAGGCGGUUCGUUUAAGUCUGAUGUGAAAGCCCACGGGCUCAACCGUGGAGGGUCAUUGGAAACUGGAGAACUUGAGUACAGAAGAGGAAAGCGGAACUCCACGUGUAGCGGUGAAAUGCGUAGAGAUGUGGAGGAACACCAGUGGCGAAGGCGGCUUUCUGGUCUGUAACUGACGCUGAGGCGCGAAAGCGUGGGGAGCAAACAGGAUUAGAUACCCUGGUAGUCCACGCCGUAAACGAUGAGUGCUAAGUGUUAGGGGGGUUUCCGCCCCUUAGUGCUGCAGCUAACGCAUUAAGCACUCCGCCUGGGGAGUACGGCCGCAAAGGCUG
This 376-nucleotide ribosomal RNA is filed under the name uncultured organism. RNAcentral's name for it is "partial 16S ribosomal RNA". It matches the Rfam family "Bacterial small subunit ribosomal RNA", at positions 527 to 896 of the family's 1533-position model. The record is from RNAcentral.